Molecule: long non-coding RNA, 246 nt
Organism: Magallana angulata
Lineage: Eukaryota; Metazoa; Mollusca; Bivalvia; Ostreida; Ostreidae
Exons: 3
Source: RefSeq, a predicted model, not a curated record
AGGCAUUCUGUCAGGAGGAAAGGAAAUACUUAAAUAAGCCUUGUGAAAGUGGAACAUUUUUACCUCGGACUUAUAGGUUUUCUAACAAUAACUUGACAUUUGAAUUAUACUUUGGCGAAGUUUGGGCACAAGACGUUAAAGGACUGGUAGUCUUAUAUGAAAGCAGUGAGAUUUUCAAGAAAGAUGAGAAAAUAUGUAUUGCUGAAUGUGGAGCAUUGGCCAGAAAUUUUGAUGGAGACAAUACAA